AUGAAUAUUGUCACGGGGGCCAUGGGCAGCCUGAUCCCCAAGCUGGGCGAGCUGCUCAUGGAGGAGUACAAGCUGCACAAGCGCAUCAAGAAAGAUGUCGAGUUUCUCAGGAAGGAGCUUGAGAGCAUGCACGCUGCCCUCAUCAAGGUUGGCGAGGUGCCGCAGGACCAGCUUGACAGGCAAGUCAAGCUCUGGGCCGACGAGGUCAGAGAGCUCUCCUAUAACAUGGAGGAUGUGGUUGACAAGUUCCUGGUACGUGUCGAAGGUAUUCAACACCCUCAUGACAACACCAACAGAUUCAAGGAGCUCAAGAACAAGAUGAUAGGCUUGUUCAAGAAAGGCAAGAAUCACCAUCGCAUAGCUGACGCUGUCAAGGAAAUCAAGGAGCAACUCCAGGAGGUGGCUGCUAGGCGUGAAAGGAACAGGCUCGAUGGUAUUGCUCCUAAUCCUAGCGAAGCAAUUGCCAUCGAUCCUCGUCUCCAUGCUCUGUACACAGAAGCGUCAGAGCUCGUCGGCAUCUAUGGGAAGAGGGAUAAGGACCUCAUGAGGCUGCUCUCCUUGGAGUCCGACGGCGAUGCCUCAAACAAAAGACUGAAAAAGGUCUCUAUCGUUGGAUUUGGUGGAUUGGGCAAGACCACUCUUGCUAGAGCAGUAUACAAGAAGAUCAAAGGUGAUUUUGAUUAUGGGGCAUUCGUUUCUGUCGGUCGGAACCCUGAUAUAUCAAGAAGGUUUUCAGGGAUAUCCUCAUUGAUCUCGGCAACUCUCACUCAGAUCUGGCGAUACUGGAUGCAAAUCAGCUUAUUGAAAAGCUUCAUGAAUUCCUAG
RNAcentral lists this ribosomal RNA (825 nucleotides) under Triticum aestivum (bread wheat). Its description in RNAcentral is "partial small subunit ribosomal RNA". Lineage: Eukaryota; Viridiplantae; Streptophyta; Magnoliopsida; Poales; Poaceae. The record is from RNAcentral.